UAUAAGUCUCAACAAAUAUAGGAAAACUAAAUAUCCUGCAUCUUCUGGUCACAAGAGUAUAAAGCUGAAUUCCAACAACAAUAGAAAUGGCAUAAAGCAGACAAACUCAUGGAAACAAGAUAAUAUGCUGACUGAGAAUUCCCUGUGAAGAUUCAUGUGUGGUACUCUCUGGUAAUCUACCUCUGUAUCAGAAGCUGUCUGAAUUUAUAUGAAGAGAACCUGACUGAUGAAGAAACUACAAAAGGAGGCAACAUAUGAUGACCACAACACAUGGAAAAGGUCAACUGCAAAUGAAGAAGCUAAUGAAAAAGUUUACAGAUACAGAACUUGGACUUAAAAAUGAGAAUCAGACUCUUAAGAACAUUUCAACAUUUAUUAAAAGUAGCCAGAGUAAAUAAACCAUAAGGAUGAAGAAAUAAUCUUCACCCAAAUGCUUCUUAUCUUCUAAGUAAAUGCUCUACCUCUAAACUAUUUCACCAGCCCCAGUCACUUGUUCAUACUGGUUUUGCCAGUAUAAAGGCCCCUAACUUUUAGAAGUGUCAUAUGGGAAUAAAAUAUAAAAUGUCAAGUAUCAGUUGACACUGAGAAAGAAAAAAUAAUCCCACCAGUCAACUUUCAA
Molecule: non-coding RNA, 619 nt
Organism: Peromyscus maniculatus bairdii (prairie deer mouse)
Lineage: Eukaryota; Metazoa; Chordata; Mammalia; Rodentia; Cricetidae
Source: RefSeq, a predicted model, not a curated record